UGCAUCGAUCGGGAAUCGAACGCGGGCCACCCGCGUGGCAGGCGAGCAUUCUACCACUGAACCACCGAUGG
This 71-nucleotide transfer RNA is filed under the name Cordylochernes scorpioides. RNAcentral describes it as "tRNA-Gly". The record is from RNAcentral. Lineage: Eukaryota; Metazoa; Arthropoda; Arachnida; Pseudoscorpiones; Chernetidae.